GCGGAUGGCCGGACGGCCGCGGGGGUCGCCGGUCUUCGGACCGAGACCCGCGAGGAAAGUCCGGACUCCAGGGAGAGAAGGCGGCGGGUAACGCCCGCCCGGGGAGACCCGAGGGAAAGCGCCACAGAGAUCAGACCGCCCCGGGCCCGGGUUUCGACCUCGGCCCGAGGCAAGGGUGAAACGGUGGGGUAAGAGCCCACCGCGCCGGCGGCGACGUCGGCGGCACGGCAAGCCCCGCCUGGAGCAAGGCCAAAUAGGGAUCGUGCGGGGGCCCGCUUGGCCUCCAGGGUUCUCCCGCCCGAGCGAUCCGGGUUGGCCGCUGGAGCCCGUCCGCAAGGGCGGGCCUAGAGGAAUGGUCGUCGGCCCCCUGCGAUGGGGGUCACAGGAUCCGGCUUACAGGCCGUCCGCGCGU
Molecule: RNase P RNA, 412 nt
Filed under: Paracoccaceae bacterium
Lineage: Bacteria; Pseudomonadati; Pseudomonadota; Alphaproteobacteria; Rhodobacterales; Paracoccaceae
Description: Rhodobacteraceae bacterium (soil metagenome) RNase P RNA component class A
Rfam family: Bacterial RNase P class A
About the family: Ribonuclease P (RNase P) is a ubiquitous endoribonuclease, found in archaea, bacteria and eukarya as well as chloroplasts and mitochondria. Its best characterised activity is the generation of mature 5'-ends of tRNAs by cleaving the 5'-leader elements of precursor-tRNAs.
Source: RNAcentral